Molecule: long non-coding RNA, 651 nt
Organism: Eucalyptus grandis
Lineage: Eukaryota; Viridiplantae; Streptophyta; Magnoliopsida; Myrtales; Myrtaceae
Exons: 3
Source: RefSeq, a predicted model, not a curated record
GUAUCUGCCGCAAGCGUCAAUCUUACAACUGAGACAGCAAUUGUAUGGCUCGUUUCUGAAGCCAAGGCUAUACCUAAUUGGCAAAAGGAGAUGGGGAUAAACACUUGCAAAACACUCAGACAAAUUGUGGCUUAAGUCUAAGCAUGGUUUUCUCUUUUUUCUGCUCUAAACAUUGGACAGCCACAAGUAUCUGCCACAAGUGUCAAGCUGACAACCAGGAUAGCAGCAGUUGUAUGGCCAGUAUCUGAAGCCAAGGAUGGCAAAAAGAGUUGGGAGAAACACUUGCAGAAGACUUGACAAAUUUUGGCUUUAUGUCUAACCCUCGAGGGGUUGGUUGACAAGUUCUCUGGAUGCUCUUGUGGAUUUGGUCAUGAGAAGCAAGCAAUGGAUGAGGCUAUUGAGGAAAUGAAUGGACUUGGAUGGGGAAAAAUAUCAUUGAGGAAAAAAGCUCAGCCUUGAGGUUCAGGUAGAGACUGAGAUGGUGAUCGCAGUCAUGAUUGUGGUCACGAUUGUGGCCCCAAUCAGGACUAUGGUGGUGGACAUGGAUGUGGAGGUGGAGAGUGCUUUAAGUGUGACAAGCCUGGGCAUUUUGCAAGGGAGUGUCCUCAUGAAGGGGGCUGAGGAGGUAGGUAUGGGGGAGGGAUGACAGGU